AACCUAGCACACCUGCGGUGUGUACCUGCGGAAGGAUCAUUAUCGUUGGGCUCCUGCCCAUUCGAGAUAACACCCUUGCCUUUUUGAGUACCUUUUCGUUUCCUCGGCAGGCACGCCUGCCAACGGGGACCCUUCAAAACGCUUUGUAAUACCUGUCAUUGUCUGAUAUAACAAGCAAAAAUCAAAACUUUUAGCAAUGGAUCU
RNAcentral lists this unclassified non-coding RNA (204 nucleotides) under soil metagenome. Its description in RNAcentral is "partial contains 5.8S ribosomal RNA, internal transcribed spacer 2, and large subunit ribosomal RNA". The record is from RNAcentral.